This 374-nucleotide ribosomal RNA is filed under the name uncultured organism. RNAcentral's name for it is "partial 16S ribosomal RNA". It matches the Rfam family "Bacterial small subunit ribosomal RNA", at positions 527 to 896 of the family's 1533-position model. The record is from RNAcentral.
GUAGGUGGCAAGCGUUGUCCGGGAAUUAUUGGGGCGUAAAGCGCGCGCAGGCGGUCCUUUAAGUCUGAUGUGAAAGCCCACGGGCUCAACCGUGGAGGGUCAUUGGAAACUGGGGGACUUGAGUGCAGAAGAGAAGAGUGGAAUUCCACGUGUAGCGGUGAAAUGCGUAGAGAUGUGGAGGAACACCAGUGGCGAAGGCGACUCUUUGGUCUGUAACUGACGCUGAGGCGCGAAAGCGUGGGGAGCAAACAGGAUUAGAUACCCUGGUAGUCCACGCCGUAAACGAUGAGUGCUAAGUGUUAGAGGGUUUCCGCCCUUUAGUGCUGCAGCAAACGCAUUAAGCACUCCGCCUGGGGAGUACGGCCGCAAGGCUG